RNAcentral lists this ribosomal RNA (407 nucleotides) under Haemophilus influenzae. RNAcentral's name for it is "bacterial LSU rRNA". It matches the Rfam family "Bacterial large subunit ribosomal RNA", at positions 1221 to 1629 of the family's 2925-position model. Lineage: Bacteria; Pseudomonadati; Pseudomonadota; Gammaproteobacteria; Pasteurellales; Pasteurellaceae. The record is from RNAcentral.
CUGUUGGGUAGGGGAGCGUUGUGUAAGCGGAAGAAGGUUCAUCGAGAGGUGGGCUGGACGUAUCACAAGUGCGAAUGCUGACAUAAGUAACGAUAAAACGGGUGAAAAACCCGUUCGCCGGAAGACCAAGGGUUCCUGUCCAACGUUAAUCGGGGCAGGGUGAGUCGGCUCCUAAGGCGAGGCUGAAAAGCGUAGUCGAUGGGAAACAGGUUAAUAUUCCUGUACUUGGUAAAGCUGCGAUGUGGGGACGGAGUAGGUUAGGUUAUCGCACUGUUGGAUAUGUGCGUUUAAGUUGGUAGGUGGGAAGUUUAGGCAAAUCCGGACUUCCUUAACACAGAGAGAUGAUGACGAGGCUCUACGGAGCUGAAGUAACUGAUACCACACUUCCAGGAAAAGCCACUAAGCGA